This 269-nucleotide long non-coding RNA is filed under the name Rattus norvegicus (Norway rat). RNAcentral's name for it is "long non-coding RNA NONRATT028083". Lineage: Eukaryota; Metazoa; Chordata; Mammalia; Rodentia; Muridae. The record is from RNAcentral.
AGAACAUAGGGGCUUUCUGCAGGUAAGGGAGUGACAGAUGUUCAGGGGCUGGUAAAACAGGAUCUAAGCAGUGUGAAUGGGACAGACUCAGCAAAUGGGCAUUUGAGAGGCACGGCUUCCCAGAGGAGGUCCGUUCACAGGUUUGCAGGUUUGCUAAGAGCCAGGCAUGUUGAGUACGCACCAGUAAUCUCACACUGGGGUGGCUGAGGCAGGACAGUUGUGAAUUUGAAGCCAACAUGGGCUACAUAGUCAAAAAAAAAAAAAAAAAA